This 497-nucleotide ribosomal RNA is filed under the name uncultured bacterium. RNAcentral's name for it is "partial 16S ribosomal RNA". It matches the Rfam family "Bacterial small subunit ribosomal RNA", at positions 28 to 507 of the family's 1533-position model. The record is from RNAcentral.
GACGAACGCUGGCGGCGUGCCUAAUACAUGCAAGUCGAACGAACAGACCCUGAGCUUGCUCCUCUGACGUUUGGCGCGGACGGGUGAGUAACGUGUGUAUACCGUACCUAUAAGUCGGGUAAAAUCACGGGAAUCCGGCGAUUAUACCGGAUAAUCUCUUGCACCGCAUUGGUCAAUGGUGAAUGACGGCUUUUCGGUCACGUCUAGCGGCAUAUGCGCCGGAUUAGCUGGUUGGUAAGUUCACGGCUUACCACGGCAACGAUGCGUAGCCGAACUGAGAGGGUGAUCGGCCGCACUGGGAGUGAGACACGGUCCAGACGCAUACGGGAGGCAGCAGUAGGGAAUCGUGCGCAAUGGGCGAAAGCCUGACGGCGCAGCGCCGCGUGAGUGAUGAAGGUCUUCGGAUCGGAAAACUCUGUUAUUAGGGAAGAACAAAUGUGUAAGUAACUAUGCACGUCUUGACGGUACCUAAUCAGAAAGCCACGGCUAACUACGUG